UCCCCGUUCUCCUGGGCCGUAUUUCUACGGCUUUCCAGUGCAUGUCAAGCCUUGGUAAGGUUCUUCGCGUCGCGUCGAAUUAAACAACAUGCUCCGCUGCUUGUGCGGGCCCCCGUCAAUUCCUUUGAGUUUUAGCCUUGCGGCCGUACUCCCCAGGCGGGGUGCUUAAUGCGUUAGCUUCGGCACGGAGGGAGUCGACACCCCCCACACCUAGCACCCAUCGUUUACGGCGUGGACUAC
Molecule: unclassified non-coding RNA, 240 nt
Filed under: uncultured Gaiellales bacterium
Lineage: Bacteria; Bacillati; Actinomycetota; Thermoleophilia; Gaiellales
Description: contains 16S-23S intergenic spacer region
Source: RNAcentral